AGCAGGUUGUAAAUUCUUAAAAUCUCCUCCCUCUCUCUCUCUCUCUCUCUGAUUUCAAAAGUUAAACUGCUAGAAACAACAACAUGUCUCCUCCUUCACAGUGAAGUCCACUUUUUGGCACCAAACUAGUUGUGAUGUCACAAAUCAUCCUCGUAGGGACACAACUCAAACAGAGUGUCAUGAUGAGCUCAUAGAAACUUUUCCCCCUUUAACAGCCGAUGAACGGGAACACAGUCUUCUUGUGUCAAAGUCUGUACAGUGAAACUCAAACAAAUGGAGGUGGGUUUUUUUCCAGGUUGGGGGGGGGGGGGACUUAAAAGUUCACCACAGUAAUCAUAAUCACAUGAGUUCAUUUCAGUUACAUUUAUUUUUCGCCUCUUCUCAUUGGGACUCAGCAGGGCGAUUUUGUGCAAAGCUAUAACGGAAACAUAUUGAGGGUUUCAAACUUCCUGCUGCUCCUUUCCUUCUACCUUCUACUGCUGUGACUGCCAGAAGCAGAUGUUCUGGCUGACCUUGUGACUUCAAGGUAGAUAUGUGGUCUGCUGAGGUUAGCCUUGGGACCUUGGACGCAGUGACUAUACAACCAGACAAAGUGUUUCUCCAGGACUGAGGAAAGUUUGGACCAAGAAAGAAGAAAAAUGCAACAUCCAGUUCGGCAACCUCACAUAAAUUACAUCAGCACUGGCCCCUAUGUUAUUGUGGCCACACCAAGUGUGUAUUUUAUGGCACUCAAAUACUGAAUAAAGCAAGAAAAAUCUCAUUCAUCCUAGUAUAAUUUGGCAAUCCUCUACGGCAGUAUUUACCCUGUCAAAAAAACGUGCAGACAAAACAGGCACUUAGCUCUUACCUAGAGCUAGAAACAUCAGACCUGAAGCGUCUUCCUCUGGGUGUGUAUGGUCCCCAUUGGUAAAUUAAACUAAACUUAUCAUAUUUGAA
Scomber scombrus (Atlantic mackerel) is the source of this 936-nucleotide long non-coding RNA. RefSeq lists it as uncharacterized. The transcript is spliced from 3 exons. The record is from RefSeq and is a predicted model, not a curated record. NCBI's taxonomy places the organism in Eukaryota, Metazoa, Chordata, Actinopteri, Scombriformes, Scombridae.